Non-coding RNA from Pseudonaja textilis, 90 nucleotides. Lineage: Eukaryota; Metazoa; Chordata; Lepidosauria; Squamata; Elapidae. The record is from RefSeq and is a predicted model, not a curated record.
GUUGUUAAGUGAAACAUUUGUUAAGUGAGUUUUACCCCCGUUUUACAACCUUUCUUCUUAUAGUUGUUAUGUGGAUCACGGCAGUUGUUA